AAAACAGAAGUAACACUACACCUGGCUUCGGCCCAGAAUUUGGCGCAAGCCCUGUUUUA
Molecule: transfer RNA, 59 nt
Filed under: Linevichella vortex
Lineage: Eukaryota; Metazoa; Arthropoda; Malacostraca; Amphipoda; Micruropodidae
Description: tRNA-Arg
Source: RNAcentral